GACACACAGAUUCCAAGUAUUUUCUCUUUCUUCCCCCUUUCUUCUUCGUCUUUUCCUCCUUUAGGAAAGGAUGGAAGCCUAUUUGCUAAACUUGUUUUUCAGCCUUACACAGGCCUCUAACUCGCACUCUUUCAUUUUGUGUGGAGACUGCCGCUUUCGACAUCUCUCUCUUUCUCUGUCAGACUGCGAUGUACCAGAAUCUGUGCAGAACAGAGACUCGUCCCCCAGACUUUGUCAAAACCACACAAUAUUUGGCCUUUGCAAAAGGAAAAAAAGGGAAAAUCUUAUUUGUACCCUGUGCUCACCCCCACCAACAAGAAGCUCAAGGCAGCAUACAUGGGUUUCCUCCCACUAGUGGACAAGGGGAUUCCCAGGGGCACAAGAAGCCUGAUGAGGGGGAUGGGCUGGCAAUGAGCAAUGGCUGAAAGGCUGAUAGAAACUACAGCUACAGCAAUUUACAAGAAGCAUCAUGUUCCUAGCUACUUCAACCUUUGAAGGGAGAAUCAAAGAACUUAAAUCAUUUGGAGGUUAAAUCUGUCUCAUCAAUCAAUCAAAGUUUAUUUGUUUGGCCAUUAACUGAAAUACAAUUAACCAAUAAAGGCAUACCAGUAAAAAAAAAAAAGGGGGGGGGAGAUGUUUCCAGAUUACAAAAUUCCAGUUACAAUUGAUUUUCAUUUUUACAUCCAGUAUAAAUCAAUUUGUCCAGAGAACAAGAAUCCAAAAAGGAUUAAUUUUACCCGAUAAUCUGUCACAUGCAUAUA
Molecule: long non-coding RNA, 761 nt
Organism: Podarcis raffonei (Aeolian wall lizard)
Lineage: Eukaryota; Metazoa; Chordata; Lepidosauria; Squamata; Lacertidae
Exons: 3
Source: RefSeq, a predicted model, not a curated record